Molecule: ribosomal RNA, 219 nt
Filed under: uncultured bacterium
Lineage: Bacteria
Description: partial 16S ribosomal RNA
Rfam family: Bacterial small subunit ribosomal RNA
Source: RNAcentral
GAUCAUGGCUCAGGACGAACGCUGGCGGCGUGCUUAACACAUGCAAGUCGAACGAGAAUCUACGGAUCGAGGAUUCGUCCAAGAGAAGUAGAGGACAGUGGCGGACGGGUGAGUAACGCGUGAGGAACCUGCCUUUCAGAGGGGGACAACAGUUGGAAACGACUGCUAAUACCGCAUGGCACAUUGGGGUCGCAUGGCCCUGAUGUCAAAGAUUUAUCG